CCCCUUUUCCCUCCUCUCUCUCACCCAAAUUCCUUCUCCCCAUCUCUUCCUCAUUCCCCCCCCCCUUCUUUUCCUCUCUCCGUCUCACUUUUUCCUUCUUUCUCCAACUUCUCCCUCUCUUCCAUCGUUCCCCAUUUCUCUUCCUCCUCCUCUCUCCCCUCUCUCUGUCUCUCUCUCUGUGUGUAUAAAUCAUUACUUCUUGCUUUUCUGGCUCCUCUAAUGACACACUUGGCAUCCAGCUCUGGAUCAAAAUAAGCCUGUUCGGUUGACAGUACUGUCAUUACAGUAGAGAAUGACUUUCUGGACGCAGCCGUGUUGGUCAUUUCCAUCAGACAGACAUCAUAAUUAAAGAAGAAAUUCUGGACAGGAAACAAGAUGGAAUUGUCAGUUGUGAAGCUACGUUAAUUAAUCAAGAAGGUUUAUAUUUGGGCUGGCGUAAUCCUUUAUGAAUCAGAAGGUCAGGAAGUGUAAAUAUGAAUGAGGUGAGAGAGAGUAAACAAGUCCAACAUUUUCCAAACAUGCUUAAUAUCUAUCCAUCCAUCUAUUUUGUAUAUCGCUCAACCUACACAGGGUCGCAGGGAGCCUGGUGCCUAUCCCAGGGGACGGGGUGUCAACCCAUUGCAGGACACACACACUAAUUUGAAAUGCCAAUCAGCCUACAAUGCAUGUCUUUGGACUGGGGGAGGAAACCAGAGUACCCAGACUUAACCCCCAAAGCACGGGGAGAACACAGGGAGAACUCCGCACACACAGGAUGGAGGCAGGAAUCAAACUCCAAACCCCAGAGGUCAGAGAGUGUGUUUGUGUGGGCGUGUUAGUCUUCUCCAGUCCCUGUGGAGUUCGCCACCUGUCCUUCCAGUUGACACUACUCCAUUGUAAUUGGUAGAAAAGCCUCUUUAGGGUGAGCGAUACGUCUCCGGGGAUCUCUGAGGGAGAGCGAGAGGAAGUGUGCUAAGGAUAUCGAAUGUCACCGACAUAUAAAGACUGACACGGGUUGGACUGUUUCUGCCAGAAGUGUGCAAGAGCUCACACUUGUCCAACAAAACCACAUGUAUUGAUACUUUUUUGCAGUCUAGGUUAUAUUUAUGGUGCAUUUUGGGUGAUCGUUUGAGCUUAAGUAAAGUGCUUUUGGAAACCACUGCUAUUAAAAUGAUUGGACCACCUACAGGAUCAAUCGCAGGAUCUUGGAAACUCUUCCACACAGAAAAUUUCCUUAGGUUUUCUCAUGUGCCAGUUUUCAGUAGGAUUCAAUUCCAUCUUCAUAAGA
Ictalurus punctatus (channel catfish) is the source of this 1267-nucleotide long non-coding RNA. The record is from Ensembl. NCBI's taxonomy places the organism in Eukaryota, Metazoa, Chordata, Actinopteri, Siluriformes, Ictaluridae.